Molecule: long non-coding RNA, 330 nt
Organism: Mytilus trossulus (common blue mussel)
Lineage: Eukaryota; Metazoa; Mollusca; Bivalvia; Mytilida; Mytilidae
Exons: 3
Source: RefSeq, a predicted model, not a curated record
UUUCUGCAGUUGUUUGGAGGCCAAAAUAGAUGCAUAUUAUACUACAAAACUAAAAGUUCAAGCCAAUUAUUUAUGUACACACUUUCUUAAAGAGUGUAAGGACAUAUGGACUCUUUCUUUUAGCUACACAGUUGUCAAUAUUUCAACUUUAAAUGAGGAACUGUAUACCAGUGAGAGAAUACCCGUACCUCAUGAUCAGGAAAUUGUAACGGAAAUUAAGGAGUUACACAUAACAGGAAAAUAUAGAAUAAAAAUUAAACCAUCUUGUACUAUUUGUGGCAGUGGUUGCAAAGUCAUACAUUUAUCCAGUAAGAAUAGACUCAGUAAAAA